AUUGAACGCUGGCGGCAGGCCUAACACAUGCAAGUCGAGCGGAUGAAGUGAGCUCGCUCCUGGAUUCAGCGGCUGACGGGUGAGUAAUGCCUAGGAAUCUGCCUGGUAGUGGGGGAUAACGUCCGGAAACGGGCGCUAAUACCGCAUACGUCCUGAGGGAGAAUGUGGGGGAUCUUCGGACCUCACGCUAUCAGCUUAGCCUAGGUCGGAUUAGCUAGUUGGUGGGGUAAAGGCCUACCAAGGCGACGAUCCGUAACUGGUCUGAGAGGAUGAUCAGUCACACUGGAACUGAGACACGGUCCAGACUCCUACGGGAGGCAGCAGUGGGGAAUAUUGGACAAUGGGCGAAAGCCUGAUCCAGCCAUGCCGCGUGUGUGAAGAAGGUCUUCGGAUUGUAAAGCACUUUAAGUUGGGAGGAAGGGCAGUAAGUUAAUACCUUGCUGUUUUGACGUUACCAACAGAAUAAGCACCGGCUAACUUCGUG
Molecule: ribosomal RNA, 484 nt
Filed under: uncultured bacterium
Lineage: Bacteria
Description: partial 16S ribosomal RNA
Rfam family: Bacterial small subunit ribosomal RNA
Source: RNAcentral